AGCUGAACAUGGCAGACAUCAGGAAAUGGUGGUGCAUUUCCCUGAUGGAACGUUUCCAGAUCGAUGGCCACGGACGGAUGCUUGCAUACUGAAACAAGGAGGCACGAGCAUUGCUCGCAGGGUUGGAGCCAGUGUUUAGGGUCCCAAAGGCCAGAAAGACUGAACAUAAGGUGACAUGCUUGAAGAAAUGCAGUUUUGAUCAUACAUGCAUAUAUAUAUUUAUAUCAAUCUGUCUGUACAUCGUUUAUCCAUACUAAGCUUUUUUUUUAAUGUAAUUGAACAAUAAGAGUUUAUUUAUCCUUCAAAGGUUCAGUCUGAGAAGUCCGACCUGUGCUUCAUUUCGGAGUGAGGGGUUGAGAGAGAGAAGGAAGACGCUCUCUGCGAGCCAGAGGGAGCGUAGCUAGACCACGGGACGGACGGACUGAACGAACAUUCGUCGUUGUCCAUUUGUUCAUGUACAUUGUGUUUAUUUGCCACGAACGGGAAAUAAACCGGAGUUCGCUUAAUUUUCACCAAGAACUGUGUCCUGACUCAUUGGAACCCGUUACAGCCCCAUUGCGUUUGAAACUGUGUUGUGUUAUCUAUGAUCUUGCCUGGCAUAUAUUUUACAGUUGCCAAAGUCAGUGCUGUCUGACAUCCUCACUGAGGUGGUACUCCAAGAGGGAGAUAAAGCUUACCCAACUCUGGCUCUGGUGUGUUCCACCUUCAGGGACAUAGUGUCCACUGACAAGUUCAAAAGACAGGCACAUUUUCUGUGGCUCAACAGUAAGUGCUUCAGUGAAGGGUGCAUCAGUGUACAAUAUCCUAAUUUAAUAUAAUAAUGUAAUGUCCUGUGGGGUCUAUACAUGUUUUUACUGCUCUAUAAAAAUAA
Molecule: long non-coding RNA, 871 nt
Organism: Gadus chalcogrammus (walleye pollock)
Lineage: Eukaryota; Metazoa; Chordata; Actinopteri; Gadiformes; Gadidae
Exons: 3
Source: RefSeq, a predicted model, not a curated record